UACGGGAGGCAGCAGUGGGGAAUAUUGCACAAUGGGCGCAAGCCUGAUGCAGCCAUGCCGCGUGUAUGAAGAAGGCCUUCGGGUUGUAAAGUACUUUCAGUCGUGAGGAAGGUGUUAAGGUUAAUAACCUUAGCAAUUGACGUUAGCGACAGAAGAAGCACCGGCUAACUCCGUGCCAGCAGCCGCGGUAAUACAGAGGGUGCGAGCGUUAAUCGGAUUUACUGGGCGUAAAGCGUGCGUAGGCGGCUGAUUAAGUCGGAUGUGAAAUCCCUGAGCUUAACUUAGGAAUUGCAUUCGAUACUGGUCAGCUAGAGUAUGGGAGAGGAUGGUAGAAUUCCAGGUGUAGCGGUGAAAUGCGUAGAGAUCUGGAGGAAUACCGAUGGGCGAAGGGCAGCCAUCUGGGCCUAAUACUGACGCUGAGUCGAAAGCAUGGGGA
RNAcentral lists this ribosomal RNA (436 nucleotides) under uncultured bacterium. Its description in RNAcentral is "bacterial SSU rRNA". It matches the Rfam family "Bacterial small subunit ribosomal RNA", at positions 340 to 767 of the family's 1533-position model. The record is from RNAcentral.